This 253-nucleotide ribosomal RNA is filed under the name uncultured bacterium. RNAcentral describes it as "partial 16S ribosomal RNA". It matches the Rfam family "Bacterial small subunit ribosomal RNA", at positions 524 to 776 of the family's 1533-position model. The record is from RNAcentral.
CACGUAGGGCGCAAGCGUUGUCCGGAAUUAUUGGGCGUAAAGAGCUCGUAGGCGGUCUGUUGCGUCCGCUGUGAAAACUCGGGGCUUAACCCCGAGCCUGCAGUGGAUACGGGCAGACUAGAGGUAGGUAGGGGAGAAUGGAAUUCCCGGUGUAGCGGUGAAAUGCGUAGAGAUUGGGAAGAACAUCGGUGGCGAAAGCGCUCUACUGGACCUCAUCUGACACUCAGGGACGAAAGCUAGGGGAGCGAAUGGG